UUUAAAUUGAGAGUUUGAUCCUGGCUCAGGAUGAACGCUGGUGGCGUGCCUAAUACAUGCAAGUCGUACGCUAGCCGCUGAAUUGAUCCUUCGGGUGAAGUGAGGCAAUGACUAGAGUGGCGAACUGGUGAGUAACACGUAAGAAACCUGCCCUUUAGUGGGGGAUAACAUUUGGAAACAGAUGCUAAUACCGCGUAACAACAAAUCACACAUGUGAUCUGUUUGAAAGGUCCUUUUGGAUCGCUAGAGGAUGGUCUUGCGGCGUAUUAGCU
Molecule: ribosomal RNA, 272 nt
Filed under: Oenococcus oeni
Lineage: Bacteria; Bacillati; Bacillota; Bacilli; Lactobacillales; Lactobacillaceae
Description: partial 16S ribosomal RNA
Rfam family: Bacterial small subunit ribosomal RNA
Source: RNAcentral